Molecule: ribosomal RNA, 482 nt
Filed under: uncultured bacterium
Lineage: Bacteria
Description: partial 16S ribosomal RNA
Rfam family: Bacterial small subunit ribosomal RNA
Source: RNAcentral
AUUGAACGCUGGCGGCAUGCCUUACACAUGCAAGUCGAACGGUAACGGGCCUUCGGGUGCCGACGAGUGGCGAACGGGUGAGUAAUACAUCGGAACGUGCCCGAUCGUGGGGGAUAACGAGGCGAAAGCUUUGCUAAUACCGCAUACGAUCUACGGAUGAAAGCAGGGGACCGCAAGGCCUUGCGCGGACGGAGCGGGCGAUGGCAGAUUAGGUAGGUGGUGGGAUAAAAGCUUACCAAGCCGACGAUCUGUAGCUGGUCUGAGAGGAUGAUCAGCCACACUGGGACUGAGACACGGCCCAGACUCCUACGGGAGGCAGCAGUGGGGAAUUUUGGACAAUGGGCGCAAGCCUGAUCCAGCCAUGCCGCGUGCAGGAUGAAGGCCUUCGGGUUGUAAACUGCUUUUGUACGGAACGAAAAGCCUUCUUUUAAUACAGGAGGGUCAUGACGGUACCGUAAGAAUAAGCACCGGCUAACUACGUG